CGGCAGCGGCAGCAGCGGUUAGAAAGAAGGGAGAAGAGAGAAGAGACUCAUCCUUUCGCGUGCGUUGCGCGCAUGUGUGCAUGUGUGUCCACGAGUCCGUCUGUCUUUGCCUUCUCUUUCAGUAGCGUACUAUUCUCUCUCUCUCGAUUUCGUGUGAUAGCCCUCUUCAGCGCCUAACGCCCGCACGCACAGAGGCACGCCGGGUGUCGUGCAGCUGCACCGAAGCUCACCUCGUUGCGCUGCGGCGUACACCUCACUCUUCCCCCUCCCUCCUGUGCCUCCUCUGACCCGCUGCUUCUUGCCAAACGCCUCGUUGCCGUCCACUGCUGCCUGCCGCUGCUCGUAGAGACGCGCUCCAGUCCGGCAAAAGCAGCAGAGGGGAGCUGUGCGGUGACGGGAGCGGUGAGUGGACACACACACACACACAGACGAAGGCAUCGCCAGGCGUGCUAUGUGCAUUAUGCGGUCUCGUCGACAGACCGUCUCGGACACGGUCGGCACGCUCAGCAUGGAUCCAUGGAAUGAUGACCGAGUGCGUGACUUUGUUGCCAUCAACACGAUUCAGCGGCUGCGCGCGUACCACUUGCCGACCAGCGCGCCGAUGCCCGUGAUCGAUGAGGUGAACACGGCGCGUGCGCUGAACCUCAUACUGCUGCCGAGGGCCGAUCCCGACUACCGACCCUGCCUCGGCGAGCAGCCUCCGUCGCGCACACAGCUGCGUGCACGGCGGCGCGCGACGGCGAGACAGGAGAGGCCAGAGGGUCGCCAAAGGCAUCAGGAGGGUUCAGGUCGAGGUGAGCAAGGCGGCUGCUCGCCAGAGUCCCCUUCGACCACUGUGUCGACCUCCUCCAGCUCCGACGAUGGCAGCAACGUCGACGACGAUACAGCCACAGAGCACGGCGCCACCGUAUCAAUGCCGAACUCCUCAUUUUCUACGGACAUCGCAACUCCCACUAAGCAAGCAAAGCCGCGCUCCCCGGUUGCUUCCGGUGCCGCCGCCGCUGCAGCCCUGUCCAGGCAGUGCGCCAUCGACCGCGCGCGCUUCCUUUUCUUUGGCGCGUUGUCGUUCACCUCCUCGACCUCGCCGCGACGGCUGGUGAACUCGCCCCACGUUCCGCUGACGCCGUCGAUAGCGUCCACGACGACUAUUGCAGGUCGGCCAUCUAUGCAUGUUCUCCGCUCUCCCAAAGAAGCGUCUCUCAGCACGACAGCCAGUCCUCUUUCGUCAGACGCGAGGGCGGCCCAGCGCCGAGCUGGAAGGGAAGUAGCUGCGGCGGCGACGGAAGAGGGCUCGGUGACGGCUAUGCCGCCUGCCCCUCUUGCACUGUCGGCCACCAGGUCACUUGGCAUGGAGCUGGACGCGCAUAUCGAGGCAAACAGCACUCCACUGCGCCCGCCGCCGCCAAUGCAGUAUGUCGGUGUUUCUGCUGAAGCGCAGACACCCGCCUCUGCGGAGGCGAAUGCAAGCGAAUCGGACGUGUCGCCGAGCAGCUCCGCCGUGGUUGCGUCCCAUGAGGCAUCUAAGUCGGAAGUCGAUGCGCUGUGCGAGAGCACUUCUACCAAGACGACUGCGAUGACUACUCCUUCGGCCACAGAGCAGCCGCGAGCUCCUCUGGGAGCGGCACCGGAUGCUGUUCGACCACCUUCUCCAAGACUGGUGGGAGCCGAAGGGGGCAGGACCACAACUCCGCCCACUAGUCAUGGUGAUCCCCGCAGCAGCAGCAGCUCCACGGAUAUUAUGCAUACAUGCGACGUCUGCGACGCCAUCAUCCAGUACUAUCAAUCAAUGUUGACGAGAGGUGUCGUGCUCGACCGCUACAACCACAAGGAUCUCGCCUUUGUGUGGUGGGUUCUAGGACGAAACAUGGACGUCGCCGCCCUCGAAAAUCGCGGCCCGAUGCGGCGCGAGGCACUCAUGAUCACCCUGCGAAACUUCUACUACACGCUGCUGACGGCAGAGGAGGCGAGAGCGAAGGAAGCGGCGGGUGAGGCGGAAAAGAGCCACGCCGAGAAAACGGAGCUAGCGGGAACCGGUGUCCCCGCUGCAUCAGCAGCUCCCGGCGGCCAAACGACUUUGUCACGGUCGGCUGACGCAACGGCUACUGGAGACCAGCAAGAUGAGGCCGAGGACACGGAGGAGCACUCGAGGCGUACGAGCGGCAAGGCCGCCGAAAGCAGUGACAUCACCGCAGAUGUACUUGCUGAUGCAUCUGUGCUUAGGCGACCCCCUCGUGCACGCUCUCGCGUCUCCCACACGUCCAGCGCGAGUGCCGCUUCUGCAGCUUUAUGUCGACAGAGGGACUCCCUAAGAGCAGCACGGACAACGAGCGGCUCCGCGGCGUUGAAGCGGAGUCGGCUUGAUAAGCCCCUCGUAUCCUCCGGCAGUGAUGACAAGGAGUGCGACGACGAGCAUCUUGUCGAAGAGGGCGUCGGCGCCGGCGCUGAUGAGCAGGAACGGCUGCCGGUGACGCCGUCGCGAGGGAGGACCAGCGUCCCACCGCUGCAGAAGAAGUCGCCCCACAAAGAGGGCACCACACUGACGGCAAGGCGUCGCGCAGUGGCUGGCUGUGCUCUUGGCAGCAGUAGCAGCGCAACAGGAAAAGGUCUCGCUGCCGCUCUGCUCGGGGAGGAUGAGGAGGAGACGGCGACGGAUGUCGUAGCUGAAGGUGUUGACGAUGCACUUGAGAAGGAGGCUGAUACACUUCACUCGCAGACAGAGAGCAGCGUCGUGUCACGUGCUGGUAGCGUGGCGCAGAGCAGCACUGGCGAGAUCCGCCGUCAUCACCGCCGCGCUGCCGAGCGCAACAAGGCUGUCGAGGAGACGUGGGUCUCUACACGAACCGGAAGGCGUGCUGCGGCCAUCAAGGCAGCCGCGCAGUUGGUGCUCCAAGGCACCGCCGAUGCCAUGGCGCACCGAAAGUCGAUUAAAGCGGUGCCCUUCACCAACGCAUCUGGAGCGUCGAGGACGGCAGCGGCCAAGACGUUGAAGCAAGAGGCUUCCAGCACCGCCGCGGUGAUACCGUCGGCGCCCGCCGGCGGCAGUUCCACAUCCAAGCUGCAGCAAAAGAAGCGCACCGGCUCGAAACGGGCACGUAGCCCCAGCCGCGAAACCUCCCCAGGCGAAGGUCAUCGAAGCCGCAGCAGUGACAGCGGCGGUGACAGCGACAUGGAGCUCACAAAGGCGGAAGCGAAAGGGAGUAACACCGAAGCGCCACGCAUGGUGUCACGCGUGAGCGCGAGCAAGAACAAGAGCCGAGCGGCGGUUUUCGCGGAGGCUCCCGCGGUGAAGGCAGAGAGGGUGACGCCGACUGUCCAUCCUCCUUCUGGAAAGGCUACCGCCCCUCUCUUCGGCGCCCCCACCACAACUACUCCUGGCAGUGCUGCGGCGGCAGCCACUACCUCGAAGAAAGGCAGGCGCGGUGAGGAGCACCGGGGACGUCCUCGUGGCAGCUUCAAGAUACCGCGCGUCGACUCCUCGGCGACGGAGGACCAGGGCAACGGCUUACUCGCGAGUGUCACGCUAAGCAGCCAGAGCCGGCGUGAUGGCGGGGGGUGUUCCACCGCCGUCCUAACAGGGACUUCUUCGGAGACAGCUGCUCCUCACCAGCGCUCCGCUGCGGUGAGCGUGACUGUGGCCCCUCCAUCCUUUUCUGCGCCGUCGAAGACUAGCGAGGAUGCGGCCCCGCUCGAGCUCCCUGUGUACGAGAUGCCGCUGCGCCUGACAGCGCACCAGCGCGCCGUGCGCUCGCGUAUUCAGCAACGCAUGGGUGUACCUCUGCCGGCACCGCCACCACGUAGUUCCGCUGGCUCAAUCUCCCAGGACUCCGGCAUCGACGCACAGUGGGCCACGGUGUACUCAUCCUACACCUUCCUCCUCUCCUCCUUUAGAACGGCAGCAUGGACGCGAAUCAGUCAGGACGGCGGCGGCCAUGAGCGGCGGGCGAUCACCGCCCCCGUGCUCUGGUACGGCCAGGCCAUAUCACCUGUCGUGGGAGGUGAGUCGACAUCCACCAGCAGUAGUGGUGCCGACCACAGCAGACAAGCAAGAGAAAAGGCAUUGGCGGCGGCGCUUAGCGAGGACGCUCUGGUGAACAGCGGCGCACCCUCCGGUGCCGCUGCCAUCGCCACAGCGGCUGGCGCCCUUACGCGACAGCGUGGUCGAAAACGCAGGAUCGAGGGCGGCGUUGAUCCGAGCUUGCGUGGUAACGUUCUCAGGCAUGACCAGGUCGCCCUGGAGCGACUGGUGAAAGAGCGAUUAGCGCAGGUCGCAGAGCGGAGGCAGGCUGCCGUGUCGCAUAUCGUUGGAAGCGAUCAAGGAAAGUGUCGCGCUUCAGGCUCAGGCACUGCUCAGGUGAAACAGGAACCGCGCAGCGGCAGCGAGGAAGCAGAAAAGCAGGACGACGAGGUGCAUGUGUUGAGGGCGAAGCCUGCUGUCGGCUUACCAGUGUCGCCCACUUGCGCUUCUCCCGUUGUAGCAGCUACGACACCAUUGGACCCGGCGAGGAGGGCAGGAGAAGGCGCAGAUGCCACGGCAGAGGAGGCGAUUGCGCCUGAGCAGCGCCGGGACAACUCAGCGCAGCGCGCGCUGUUGCCACAGGCGUCCGCCUUUGGUGACCUGCCGUAUGCUCAGCAGUGUCUUCUAGUGUGGUCCGCCGCAGGGUUGCUGGAGCGGCACAUACAUCGGCGCCAGAUGGAAGAUGCUCGACGCGAGCGCCUCCUGGCGCGGUGCGGCCGCAUGGCUACUCGACGGAUGGCUGCCCGUGUCGCUGCCGUCAUCCAGGGUGGAAUUGCAGACGGUAAUGCAUGCGACAAUGCCGAGGAUGCCGCCGCGCAACUGGCCGGCGAGCUCCGAGGAGGUGACGAGGACCGCGAUAGCGGUGCGAGCGGAGAGGACAGCGAUGCGCCCGAGGAGAGGACACGCAGCGGCACUCUUGGGCGGACGAGCGGGACGUCACGCAAGGCCGAUGUCGAGGAGCACAUCGACCGCCUUGAGCACUUGAGCGAUCAAUCUGCAUCUUCGCGUUCCCCCUCUGCCGUCUCGUCGUCCGCGUCCUCGGAGGAGCGCUUCCACAAGGUCAUGCGCCCGCUACCGCGCCGCGCUUAUGACUACUGGGCCGCCUAUCGUCGCGCCGGUGACAGUGGGUGACAGACACACACGCCGGCACGGCGCGCGUGCAUGUGUGGGCAUCGGUGUUCCUCCUCUCUGCGUCGAUAUCAGCAGCGGAAGACAACGGCGAUGACAGGAAAACGUUUGCCACAGGGAUGGGGCGAAAAGACGGGAAGCGGAGGAGAGAGUUCACCAGGUACGACCCAAGAUGGUGUACUGUGGGGCUGUCAGAGUUGUAGCUUGAGGACUGUGUAUGUGUGUGUGUGUGUCUGCGCGCCGCAGCAUACAGACCCCUUCAUUAUC
This 5410-nucleotide unclassified non-coding RNA is filed under the name Leishmania donovani. Its description in RNAcentral is "gene:LdHU3.26.2870(CDS-product:hypothetical_prote in_conserved)". Lineage: Eukaryota; Euglenozoa; Kinetoplastea; Trypanosomatida; Trypanosomatidae. The record is from RNAcentral.